UAAAGACCUAGUAAUAGGUAUGCUUAGGGAGGAGCUCGCGUCACAUUAGUUAGUUGGUGGGGUAAAGGCCUACCAAGACUAUGAUGUGUAGCCGGGCUGAGAGGUUGAACGGCCACAUUGGGACUGAGACACGGCCCAAACUCCUACGGGAGGCAGCAGUAGGGAAUUUUCGGCAAUGGAGGAAACUCUGACCGAGCAACGCCGCGUGAACGAUGAAGUAUUUCGGUACGUAAAGUUCUUUUAUUAGGGAAGAAUAAAUGAUGGAAAAAUCAUUCUGACGGUACCUAAUGAAUAAGCCCCGGCUAACUAUGUGCCAGCAGCCGCGGUAAUACAUAGGGGGCAAGCGUUAUCCGGAAUUAUUGGGCGUAAAGGGUGCGUAGGCGGUUAAAUAAGUUUAUGGUCUAAGUGCAAUGCUCAACAUUGUGAUGCUAUAAAAACUGUUUAGCUAGAGUAAGAUAGAGGCAAGUGGAAUUCCAUGUGUAGUGGUAAAAUGCGUAAAUAUAUGGAGGAACACCAGUAGCGAAGGCGGCUUGCUGGGUCUUUACUGACGCUGAGGCACGAAAGCGUGGGGAGCAAACAGGAUUAGAUACCCUGGUAGUCCACGCCGUAAACGAUGAGUACUAAACGUUGGGUAAAACCAGUGUUGAAGUUAACACAUUAAGUACUCCGCCUGAGUAGUACGUACGCAAGUAUGAAACUUAAAGGAAUUGACGGGACUCCGCACAAGCGGUGGAUCAUGUUGUUUAAUUCGAAGGUACCCGAAAAACCUCACCAGGUCUUGACAUGCUUCUGCAAAGCUGUAGAAACACAGUGGAGGUUAUCAGUUGCACAGGUGGUGCAUGGUUGUCGUCAGCUCGUGUCGUGAGAUGUUGGGUUAAGUCCCGCAACGAGCGCAACCCUUAUUGUUAGUUACCAGCACGUAAUGGUGGGGACUUUAGCAAGACUGCCAGUGAUAAAUUGGAGGAAGGUGGGGACGACGUCAAAUCAUCAUGCCCCUUAUGACCUGGGCUACAAACGUGAUACAAUGGCUGUUACAAAGGGUAGCUGAAGCGCAAGUUUUUGGCGAAUCUCAAAAAAACAGUCUCAGUUCGGAUUGAAGUCUGCAACUCGACUUCAUGAAGUUGGAAUCGCUAGUAAUCGCGAAUCCAGCAUGUCGCGGUGAAUACGUU
RNAcentral lists this ribosomal RNA (1169 nucleotides) under 'Fragaria x ananassa' phytoplasma. RNAcentral's name for it is "bacterial SSU rRNA". It matches the Rfam family "Bacterial small subunit ribosomal RNA", at positions 196 to 1372 of the family's 1533-position model. The record is from RNAcentral. Lineage: Bacteria; Bacillati; Mycoplasmatota; Mollicutes; Acholeplasmatales; Acholeplasmataceae.